CCAAACUUCUACACAGAAUUAUCAAAUUCACUAGAUAUGCAAAUUUAUUUAAGAUUCACAAAAAUGCUACUUCUACAUUUCUUUUUUUUUAUUCUGUUUGUUUUAUCUAAAUUCUAAUACAUGUACUAGGGCUUGGUGUGGCCAUCCAAAUGCUGAAGUACCAGCUUAACAAGGUGAGCCUUUGAUCAUGUUCUUGCAUAGGGAGCUACAUAUGAGACAUGAAUUUGAAAUGUUUUUGUGUCAUAUGAUAUUUUAUGGUGUUUGUAAACUCUUUUCUCGCUUACAUGUACAUCAUGCCAUGCUUUGUUUGAUGGCCCUGGACUGAUUUUGUCUUGUAAACAAGGAGGAUGCCCAACGAGGGAACGUCAGUGGUGGGUAAGAAGUGGCUUCCACUAGCAGCUCCCAUGAGAUCAAUUCUGACAGCAUAACAAAAUGGAUCUUCAAAGUGCUUCAAUGUGAAGGAUAUUAUCCAAAGGCAUCCCCGUGGGAAAGAAAUAGUAUAACACAAACUCGACGAUAACGACAGAAACCAGAUGCCUUCUGACAACUAUUGUGUUUGCGGAAAUGGUCAAGAUUUUCACCUAGCGAGAUAGCACUGUUCUCAUUCAUCAUGGCAAUAUACAUGGUUCCAGCUCAAACAGCAAGAAGGAAGAGUUCACUGGCAGACUCCAUGGGAUACUUUUUGGUGACUAGACCAAUCAGUACAAGUGUGGAAUCCCACCUGGCUGAAGAGAUGAAUGACAAGAAGCGGAGACAACCAUACCUUUUGGGCAUAGGAGAUCACAACAACUCAUCUCAGUUUUUCAUUGUUGUGGAUGAUCUAGCUAUCCCCUGCGAAGGUGACAUCACAGAGGCUGUUGACAAACUGUUUAAGGUCCAAUUCUUGUUCAACAUCCACUAUGCAGAUGAAGUCUAUGGAUUUUUUCUGGGGAUUUUUUGCAUUCAUACAGAACUUUGUUUACGGCAUAAGUGGACAAGAAGCAGUUCCAGCCCAUGCCAGAGAAAUGAUGGCAAGCAUCACUGCCUUGGAAGUGACUGCAAACAAAUGACUGACUUCAGUAUUGCCUGUCCUCAACGAGCAUAAUUAACUCAAAAGGGUGUGGAGGUCACAUGGUAGGAUCAAAGAUCAUUUGUAUUCAUGAAGUGCUGGCUGAUAUUUUUUUUUCUGUUCCCACUUGGAACAUUCUUCCCUGCUUAAGUUGAUAGAGGAUGUUCACUUUUUAAAUGUACACAAUUCCAUAAUCAAUGGAAGAUCACUGUUGAAUAAAUUUGGGUUUAUUCAUCCUCGAAUAUUCCAGGAUAUUCUCAUAUUUUUUAAAAGAAAAAAAUCUUGGUCAGUAAUGUAUAUGUUAAAUAAAUUUACCUUGAACACAUCUCUUACAGUGCAUAUAUAUAAAAAAAUUAACCCUUUUGAAAAUAAUUUUCACAAUCACAUUUCAAAAUAUGGAGAUGAUUUUUUUUUAAUGGCUUUUGGUACUCUAUAGUCUCUUCUAUCAAAUGCUGCUUGAGCGAGCGGUGACCAUUUUUGUCCAGAGUGUCAAAAAGUGCUUUGUGCCAAAAUUGAAAGAAAAGGAAAAAUUAAUUCAGCAGUCUGAUUAGGAUUCAUACUCAAAUCACUUGCUCUUUUGCAUACAUUUAUGAUCAUUUCAGAAAUGGAUAACUUUCCUAACCUUGGAAGAAUGGGGGGGGGGGUGUUUAAU
Long non-coding RNA from Lytechinus variegatus (green sea urchin), 1700 nucleotides. RefSeq lists it as uncharacterized. The record is from RefSeq and is a predicted model, not a curated record. The transcript is spliced from 4 exons. NCBI's taxonomy places the organism in Eukaryota, Metazoa, Echinodermata, Echinoidea, Temnopleuroida, Toxopneustidae.